RNAcentral lists this transfer RNA (71 nucleotides) under Amolops chunganensis (Chungan torrent frog). RNAcentral's name for it is "tRNA-Leu". It matches the Rfam family "tRNA". From Rfam's summary of the family: Transfer RNA (tRNA) molecules are approximately 80 nucleotides in length. Their secondary structure includes four short double-helical elements and three loops (D, anti-codon, and T loops). The record is from RNAcentral. Lineage: Eukaryota; Metazoa; Chordata; Amphibia; Anura; Ranidae.
GUUAGCGUAGCAUACAGGUAAUGCGAGAGAUCUAAGUCCUCUAAAAUGAGGUUCAAGUCCUCCCACUAACU